GUCGACGGUGAUGAGGAGCUUGCUUCUCUGAUCAGUGGCGAACGGGUGAGUAACACGUGAGCAAUCUGCCCUUGACUCUGGGAUAACUGCGGGAAACUGUAGCUAAUACCGGAUACGACCUGAAGAGGCAUCUUUUUGGGUGGAAAGAAUUUUGGUCAAGGAUGAGCUCGCGGCCUAUCAGCUUGUUGGUGAGGUAAUGGCUCACCAAGGCGACGACGGGUAGCCGGCCUGAGAGGGUGACCGGCCACACUGGGACUGAGACACGGCCCAGACUCCUACGGGAGGCAGCAGUGGGGAAUAUUGCACAAUGGGCGCAAGCCUGAUGCAGCAACGCCGCGUGAGGGACGAAGGCCUUCGGGUUGUAAACCUCUUUUAGUAGGGAAGAAGCGACUGGGUUUUCCUGGGAGUGACGGUACCUGCAGAAAAAGCACCGGCUAACUACGUGCCAGCAGCCGCGGUAAUACGUAGGGUGCAAGCGUUGCCCGGAAUUAUUGGGCGUAAAGAGCUCGUAGGCGGUUUGUCGCGUCUGCUGUGAAAACCCGAGGCUCAACCUCGGGCCUGCAGUGGGUACGGGCAGACUAGAGUGCGGUAGGGGAGAUUGGAAUUCCUGGUGUAGCGGUGGAAUGCGCAGAUAUCAGGAGGAACACCAAUGGCGAAGGCAGAUCUCUGGGCCGUAACUGACGCUGAGGAGCGAAAGCAUGGGGAGCGA
RNAcentral lists this ribosomal RNA (709 nucleotides) under uncultured bacterium. Its description in RNAcentral is "bacterial SSU rRNA". It matches the Rfam family "Bacterial small subunit ribosomal RNA", at positions 61 to 771 of the family's 1533-position model. The record is from RNAcentral.